RNAcentral lists this ribosomal RNA (434 nucleotides) under uncultured Escherichia sp. Its description in RNAcentral is "bacterial SSU rRNA". It matches the Rfam family "Bacterial small subunit ribosomal RNA", at positions 958 to 1393 of the family's 1533-position model. Lineage: Bacteria; Pseudomonadati; Pseudomonadota; Gammaproteobacteria; Enterobacterales; Enterobacteriaceae. The record is from RNAcentral.
AACGCGAAGAACCUUACCUGGUCUUGACAUCCACGGAAGUUUUCAGAGAUGAAAAUGUGCCUUCGGGAACCGUGAGACAGGUGCUGCAUGGCUGUCGUCAGCUCGUGUUGUGAAAUGUUGGGUUAAGUCCCGCAACGAGCGCAACCCUUAUCCUUUGUUGCCAGCGGUCCGGCCGGGAACUCAAAGGAGACUGCCAGUGAUAAACUGGAGGAAGGUGGGGAUGACGUCAAGUCAUCAUGGCCCUUACGACCAGGGCUACACACGUGCUACAAUGGCGCAUACAAAGAGAAGCGACCUCGCGAGAGCAAGCGGACCUCAUAAAGUGCGUCGUAGUCCGGAUUGGAGUCUGCAACUCGACUCCAUGAAGUCGGAAUCGCUAGUAAUCGUGGAUCAGAAUGCCACGGUGAAUACGUUCCCGGGUCUUGUACACACGC